CACACGAGGCUCUACCCAUGUGUGAAACAGUGGGAGUGGAGAAGGGACAAAGAAAUCUGUAACUGGCUGUGAUCAAUUAGUUGUAAGACACCACUGCACUCGG
Molecule: long non-coding RNA, 103 nt
Organism: Pipistrellus kuhlii (Kuhl's pipistrelle)
Lineage: Eukaryota; Metazoa; Chordata; Mammalia; Chiroptera; Vespertilionidae
Exons: 3
Source: RefSeq, a predicted model, not a curated record